Molecule: small nucleolar RNA, 104 nt
Organism: Suricata suricatta (meerkat)
Lineage: Eukaryota; Metazoa; Chordata; Mammalia; Carnivora; Herpestidae
Source: Ensembl
ACUUUUGUCUUUCACAAGUGUGAUGACUGGGUGUUCAGCCACUGUGUGGGAUGUGCCUCUCUCAAACCUUGUCACAACAUAAUUGUCACCUUACCCAUCUGGGA